This 491-nucleotide ribosomal RNA is filed under the name uncultured bacterium. RNAcentral describes it as "partial 16S ribosomal RNA". It matches the Rfam family "Bacterial small subunit ribosomal RNA", at positions 31 to 506 of the family's 1533-position model. The record is from RNAcentral.
AGAGAACGCUGGCGGUAGGCCUAACACAUGCAAGUCGAACGGCAGCACAGUAAGAGCUUGCUCUUACGGGUGGCGAGUGGCGGACGGGUGAGGAAUACAUCGGAAUCUACUUUUUCGUGGGGGAUAACGUAGGGAAACUUACGCUAAUACCGCAUACGACCUACGGGUGAAAGCAGGGGAUCUUCGGACCUUGCGCGAUUGAAUGAGCCGAUGUCGGAUUAGCUAGUUGGCGGGGUAAAGGCCCACCAAGGCGACGAUCCGUAGCUGGUCUGAGAGGAUGAUCAGCCACACUGGAACUGAGACACGGUCCAGACUCCUACGGGAGGCAGCAGUGGGGAAUAUUGGACAAUGGGCGCAAGCCUGAUCCAGCCAUACCGCGUGGGUGAAGAAGGCCUUCGGGUUGUAAAGCCCUUUUGUUGGGAAAGAAAAGCAGCAGGUUAAUACCCCGCUGUUCUGACGGUACCCAAAGAAUAAGCACCGGCUAACUUCGU